GGGCCCGCACAAGCGGUGGAGCAUGUGGUUUAAUUCGAUGAUACGCGAGGAACCUUACCAGGGCUUAAAUGUAGUGGGACAGGUCUAGAGAUAGACCCUUCUUCGGACUCAUUACAAGGUGCUGCAUGGUUGUCGUCAGCUCGUGCCGUGAGGUGUCAGGUUAAGUCCUAUAACGAGCGCAACCCCUAUCGUUAGUUGCCAGCGAGUAAUGUCGGGAACUCUAGCGAAACUGCCGGUGCAAACCGAGAGGAAGGUGGGGAUGACGUCAAAUCAUCACGGCCCUUACGUCCUGGCUACACACGUGCUACAAUGGCCGGUACAGAGAGCAGCCACUACGCGAGUAGGAGCGAA
RNAcentral lists this ribosomal RNA (351 nucleotides) under uncultured bacterium. RNAcentral describes it as "bacterial SSU rRNA". It matches the Rfam family "Bacterial small subunit ribosomal RNA", at positions 917 to 1271 of the family's 1533-position model. The record is from RNAcentral.